UAUAUGAAAAAAACACGGCAUGAUAGAGCUGCUGCAAAAAAUUUAACUUCUGACGAUGAAUCUGUUGAUAUAGAAGUGGAUUCUUGUUUAUUGUCUCCUUUACCAGAUCCGAAAGAAUUUUCUGAAUCUCAAAAAUUGUUAUUCGGAAAAACCUGCACUGAUUUUGACAACCUAUGAAAAUCCGAUCAUUUCCGAAAAAGACAACAUCGUUAUAACUGAAAAAAAAAACCGAAGAUAAUUCGACAAGAAGUGAUUGCUAAACCUAAGAAAAAAGAAUUAGAAAAUAAAAAUCAAAAAGAUUUUAUCACUGAAGAUAAUGAAGAUUUUAACACCGAAAAUCAUUCCAUCAAUAAAUUGUUCAUGGAAAUUUUGAGAAAAGUAAAUCGCGUCUUAGUUGAAAUGACAUACAUCGAUAGAAGGCUAAGUAGAUUAGAAAAUAAAAUAGACUAUAUUACAAAUAAAGAAAUUAAUGUAAAUAACGUCGAAGAAGCUUUCGUUUUCGACACUAUUUCUUCAGUGGAUGAGCUGAAAUUGUUUGAAGACAAUUUGAAAAAUGAAGAAUUUUUUACGAAAAUGAAAGGCUUCUUGAAAUUGAAAGGCGGAACAAAUCUACAAGACAUGAUAAAAAAUACAUUUAAAGCAUUAAUAAAGGACGAAAUAUUAAUGUUAUAUAGUUGGAAAGGAGCUCGAGGAAAAAAUGUAUUCCAAAAUUUCAAAAUUGUUAG
Molecule: long non-coding RNA, 725 nt
Organism: Odontomachus brunneus
Lineage: Eukaryota; Metazoa; Arthropoda; Insecta; Hymenoptera; Formicidae
Exons: 3
Source: RefSeq, a predicted model, not a curated record